GCUGUUACAUGAGCAACAGCCUCUCCUCUGUUUUUCUCUUCUGCUGGUCUAUGGGCCUGACUUGCUGUUUUGCAGGCGAAAGUACAACAGUUCAAAAACCUCGGAGAACAACAGCACUAUCCCCCUGCGAAGAUGUAGAGGAGGUGUGUGCAAGCAGAACACACAGAUCCCGGUGGAGGAACUGCUGGAGGCUCUGAAGAGGUUUAAGAGGGCAGAAAUAGAGGCAGAGCAGACAGAAGAUGAAUCAGUCGACCGGCAUGGUGCUGGACGUCUGAGAGAGUAUCAGCAACUGUCCUCCACUUUGUUGCAUCCCUGCGAUGCCGGGAAGGAGCUAUGUAAUCAGAGCAAGAACCGCUACAAGAGCAUCAUCCCAUGUAAGCAGAGCUCUCCAGGGGCUGGCACAGGCACUUGGAGGUGGUUGGGCUGUACAGUGUGCU
Molecule: long non-coding RNA, 437 nt
Organism: Aquila chrysaetos chrysaetos
Lineage: Eukaryota; Metazoa; Chordata; Aves; Accipitriformes; Accipitridae
Source: Ensembl